Molecule: non-coding RNA, 54 nt
Organism: Gasterosteus aculeatus (three-spined stickleback)
Lineage: Eukaryota; Metazoa; Chordata; Actinopteri; Perciformes; Gasterosteidae
Source: Rfam
UUAAAAGUGUAAUGUAAGUCGCUUUGGAUAAAAGCGUCUGCUAAAUGACAUGUA